GGCCCGCACAAGCGGUGGAGCAUGUGGUUUAAUUCGAUGCAACGCGAAGAACCUUACCUGGUCUUGACAUAGUAAGAACUUUCCAGAGAUGGAUUGGUGCCUUCGGGAACUUACAUACAGGUGCUGCAUGGCUGUCGUCAGCUCGUGUCGUGAGAUGUUGGGUUAAGUCCCGCAACGAGCGCAACCCUUUUCCUUAUUUGCCAGCACUUUGGGUGGGAACUUUAAGGAUACUGCCAGUGACAAACUGGAGGAAGGCGGGGACGACGUCAAGUCAUCAUGGCCCUUACGACCAGGGCUACACACGUGCUACAAUGGUCGGUACAAAGGGUUGCUACCUAGCGAUAGGAUGCUAAUCUCAAAAAGCCGAUCGUAGUCCGGAUUGGAGUCUGCAACUCGACUCCAUGAAGUCGGAAUCGCUAGUAACCGCGGAUCAGAAUGCCGCGGUGAAUACGUUCCCGGGCCUUGUACACACCGCCCGUCACACCAUGGGAGUUUGUUGCACCAGAAGUGGAUAGUCUAACUGCAAAGAGGACGUUCACCA
RNAcentral lists this ribosomal RNA (541 nucleotides) under uncultured bacterium. RNAcentral's name for it is "bacterial SSU rRNA". It matches the Rfam family "Bacterial small subunit ribosomal RNA", at positions 918 to 1459 of the family's 1533-position model. The record is from RNAcentral.